This 449-nucleotide ribosomal RNA is filed under the name uncultured bacterium. RNAcentral's name for it is "partial 16S ribosomal RNA". It matches the Rfam family "Bacterial small subunit ribosomal RNA", at positions 29 to 523 of the family's 1533-position model. The record is from RNAcentral.
AACGAACGCUGGCGGCAUGCCUAACACAUGCAAGUCGAACGAGAUCUUCGGGUCUAGUGGCGCACGGGUGCGUAACGCGUGGGAAUCUGCCCUUUGGUUCGGAAUAACAGUUGGAAACGACUGCUAAUACCGGAUGAUGACGAAAGUCCAAAGAUUUAUCGCCAGAGGAUGAGCCCGCGUAGGAUUAGCUAGUUGGUGUGGAAAAGGCGCACCAAGGCGACGAUCCUUAGCUGGUCUGAGAGGAUGGUCAGCCACACUGGGACUGAGACACGGCCCAGACUCCUACGGGAGGCAGCAGUGGGGAAUAUUGGACAAUGGGCGAAAGCCUGAUCCAGCAAUGCCGCGUGAGUGAUGAAGGCCUUAGGGUUGUAAAGCUCUUUUACCCGGGAUGAUAAUGACAGUACCGGGAGAAUAAGCUCCGGCUAACUCCGUGCCAGCCGCCGCAGUAA